RNAcentral lists this long non-coding RNA (1305 nucleotides) under Pogona vitticeps (central bearded dragon). Its description in RNAcentral is "lncRNA (ENSPVIG00000007464.1)". Lineage: Eukaryota; Metazoa; Chordata; Lepidosauria; Squamata; Agamidae. The record is from RNAcentral.
UUGUAUGAUUAUCGCCUCGCAUUGCAUUUUAUGGGAAUCCCGGUGUGGUGUAGUGGAUAGAGUGAUGGCAUGGGACUUUGGAGAACUGGGUUCAAAUCUCCACUUGGCCAUGGCAACUCCCGGGAUGUGGUGGCAGUGGCUGGAACAGAUAAAAAUCAGUCCUUAAAUAUAUCACUUACCUUGUUCAGGUUGCUACAAGUCAGUUCCAGUUGAGAGCACAUAACACAUGCACACAAAUACACCUUGCUUUUUAUAGCUUUCUGGUUCCUCUACUUACACUCUUUCUUGCUUCAUUGCACACCUAUGCUUAUGUGCAUAAAAUUUACAUCCAACAUUGGCAGACAUGUAUAUGCUUGCCAAUGCUGAAUGUGUGAUCUGAUGAAGUGGGCUGCAAACCACAAAAGUGCAUAUUGUUAAAAAAUCCUCCGUUUUUCAGGUGCCACAGGACUCUCCUUUGUGUGUGAUUAUUAAGUGCUAUUGGACCAGUGUCUGUGUAAACCUGAAAUUAUUCUACUCUGUCAUUUAACUUUGUGCAACACAAGACCUUUGCACUUGUGUAUGCAUGAGCUAUAAUUCCUCUGGGGAACUUAAACAAGAGCAAAUGAAAGCAGAAUUGAUUUGCUUGGGUUUUUCCUUCCCUCCAGCAGACAGAGCUGAGUUAAAGGAGAGACUGCAAGGCUUCAAACUUGGCUGGAAGGUUCAGCGAUCAACAGAAUUUAUGCUGGAAGCAGAUGUUCCGAGAGCUCAGAAGGGCCAUUUCACAUUAUGAGACCUUCUCAUGGUUUGGGAAGAGAUUACAAAUAAUUUAAUGUAAGGAACAACAUGUAGUUUUUAAAAAAUCUUUAGAAUGCAUGAUAGGAUAAUUAUAUUUAUCAGUAGGUUUAGGGACGUGGUGGCGCUGUGGGCUAAACCGCAGAAGCCUGUGCUGCAGGGUCAGAAGACCAAGCAGUCGUAAGAUCGAAUCCAUGCGACGGAGUGAGCUCCCGUCGCUUGUCCCAGCUCCCGCCAACCUAGCGGUUCGAAAGCAUGCAAAUGCAAGUAGAUAAAUAGGGACCAUCUCGGUGGGAAGGUAAACAGCGUUCCGUGUCUAAUCACACUGGCCAUGUGACCACGGAAAGAUUGUCUUCAGACAAAACGCUGGAUCUAUGGCUUGAAGAGUGGGAUGAGCGCCGCCCCCUAGAGUCGGACACGACUGGACAAAAAUUGUCAAGGGGAACCUUUACCUUUACCUUUACCUUUAGAUUGAGGUGAGCACCCUGCUCCACCAAUGAGGUGAGACUCAGUUCCAGUGGCGCAGUGUGUGUG